AGCUCCAAAAGCGUAUAUUAAAGUUGUUGCAGUUAAAACGCUCGUAGUCGGGUUUCGGGUCGGGCCGAGCGGUCUGCCGAUGGGUAUGCACUGUUUGGCGCGGCCUUCUUUCCGGAGACCGCGGCUACUCUUAACUGAGCGGGCGUGGGAGACGGAUCGUUUACUUUGAAAAAUCAGAGUGUUUCAAGCAGGCAGCUCGCUCUUGCAUGGUACAGCAUGGGAUGAUUGAAUAGGACUCCGGUGCUAUUUUGUUGGUUUCGAACACCAGGAGUAAUGAUUAACAGGGACAGUCAGGGGCACUCGUAUUCCGUCGAGAGAGGUGAAAUUCUCAGACCAAUGGAAGACGAACCACUGCGAAAGCAUUUGCCAGGGAUGUUUUCA
Molecule: ribosomal RNA, 381 nt
Filed under: uncultured eukaryote
Lineage: Eukaryota
Description: SSU rRNA
Rfam family: Eukaryotic small subunit ribosomal RNA
Source: RNAcentral